ACUGGGACUGAGACACGGCCCAGACUCCUACGGGAGGCAGCAGUGGGGAAUUUUGGACAAUGGGGGCAACCCUGAUCCAGCCAUGCCGCGUGUCUGAAGAAGGCCUUCGGGUUGUAAAGGACUUUUGUCAGGGAGGAAAUCCCUAAGGUUAAUACCCUUGGGGGAUGACAGUACCUGAAGAAUAAGCACCGGCUAACUACGUGCCAGCAGCCGCGGUAAUACGUAGGGUGCAAGCGUUAAUCGGAAUUACUGGGCGUAAAGCGUGCGCAGGCGGUUUGAAAAGUCAGCUGUGAAA
Molecule: ribosomal RNA, 295 nt
Filed under: Laribacter hongkongensis
Lineage: Bacteria; Pseudomonadati; Pseudomonadota; Betaproteobacteria; Neisseriales; Aquaspirillaceae
Description: partial 16S ribosomal RNA
Rfam family: Bacterial small subunit ribosomal RNA
Source: RNAcentral